UUGAAAGGGAAACGAUUGAAGUCAGUCGUACUUGCGGGCAAUCAGCCUUUUGGGUGUGAUUAUGUGGGGCGUGAGGAGUUAAUCACCCUCAUCUUUGCAUAUUCGUGCACUUUGGGUGUACUUGCUCGUCUGGUAGGUUAACAUCAAUUUUGGUCAUCAUAAAAUGGCUGGAGGAAUGUAGCUUCGAUCUCGUAUUGAAGUGUUAUAGCCUUUGGUAGACGUGAUGAUUGGGAUUGAGGAUUGCAACGGAAAUCCUUCGGGCUACCUGUCUGAUCUCUGGAAGUUGCUCUGGUGCUGAAAGCUUGCUUAUGGUAUCAAAGUUGACGUCUAAUAGGUUAGAACGGGAUAAAUUCGUUAAGGAUGUUGACGUA
RNAcentral lists this ribosomal RNA (371 nucleotides) under uncultured Glomeromycotina. RNAcentral describes it as "LSU rRNA". The record is from RNAcentral. Lineage: Eukaryota; Fungi; Glomeromycota.